Molecule: ribosomal RNA, 166 nt
Filed under: Senecio rufiglandulosus
Lineage: Eukaryota; Viridiplantae; Streptophyta; Magnoliopsida; Asterales; Asteraceae
Also listed under: 1 other name
Description: 5.8S ribosomal RNA
Rfam family: 5.8S ribosomal RNA
About the family: 5.8S ribosomal RNA (5.8S rRNA) is a component of the large subunit of the eukaryotic ribosome. It is transcribed by RNA polymerase I as part of the 45S precursor that also contains 18S and 28S rRNA.
Source: RNAcentral
CAUAAACGACUCUCGGCAACGGAUAUCUCGGCUCACGCAUCGAUGAAGAACGUAGCAAAAUGCGAUACUUGGUGUGAAUUGCAGAAUCCCGUGAACCAUCGAGUUUUUGAACGCAAGUUGCGCCCGAAGCCUUUUGGUUGAGGGCACGUCUGCCUGGGCGUCACAC